Long non-coding RNA from Vulpes vulpes (red fox), 419 nucleotides. The record is from Ensembl. Lineage: Eukaryota; Metazoa; Chordata; Mammalia; Carnivora; Canidae.
CCGAGAUCUAUUCAGGCCCUUAAGGUGCAGCAGGCCCCACAGUCGGUGCCUGGGCGGGCUCUUGAAGUGCUUCAGGAUGCUGCUCGGGGUAGGAGGCCGGUUGCUCCACUGACAGGUAGUUGCUCUGGCACGUGGAUGACUGGCACAUAGCCAGCGGUGGGGNCCUUUUGGCCUCCAGGGGUCCUAAGGGCGCAGGUGUCCCCAGGUCGGAACAGUGAAUCAGAGCUGUCACCGCCACCUGCAGUGGCAUCGACUCAGCAGCUGGCAUCUCAACUUGGGCCAAGCCCUCAGCUACGCUACCUGGGACCGCCUCAAUCCCCUCCGGCCCUGAAGGUGGAGCAGGCCUCACAGUUGGUCCCGGGCUUGGCUCUUUGGUGGUUCAGGCUGUUGCUCAGCUUAGGACGCUGGUUGCUCCCCUG